Aedes albopictus (Asian tiger mosquito) is the source of this 985-nucleotide long non-coding RNA. RefSeq lists it as uncharacterized. The record is from RefSeq and is a predicted model, not a curated record. Lineage: Eukaryota; Metazoa; Arthropoda; Insecta; Diptera; Culicidae. The transcript has 2 exons.
CUGGCGGACUGUCACUUUCGACCGGAGCCAAUCGAGCAUGACGUCAUAGUGUCCUCACCGAUAAAUGCUACACCGUGACGUCAUGCUCGAUUGGCUCCGAUCGAAAGUGACAGUCCGCCAGACUCUAACUAGACUGACUCUAGAGAAACCUACCCACCAGUCGCAAAGUUGGCAACCAUCCAUACACGCUAAGAUCAGUUUACCCAUAAAUAGGUAAUUUAUUUACCCAUAUAUGAGUUUUAUAUGCAUUACCUAUAUUAUGGGUAAAAUAUACUAAGAAAAAACAGUAAAGUCUACUCAUAUUAUGUGAAAACAGAGAUUACCUAAAUUUGGGUAAAGUGAUUUACCCAUAUUUGGAUGAAAAAUAUUCCUUGUUGGCAACAUCGCGAUAGAAAAAAAGAGUGACUACUGCCGACUCCACUAAUUUUCAAGUUUUCUAUCGAUAGACGAUCGUGCUCAAUAGCGAAUAGUGAAAAAAAUACGUUGCGGACUCAGGAAUAUAUUCUUGACAAAACCAUCAGCUUUCUCAGCGCAGGGAAAUUGGCAUAGGAAUAUUUGAACCGACGGAAGUGUUGUCAAUAUAUGGGAAGGCAAAUCAUCUAUGUCCAAGUCUAUGUCUCUUCCACACAAGAGGAGUUUCAGUAUGUGGCCACAAAUAGCGACAAGUAUGCCGAGAAUCCGUUGAAGAAUCCGUGAUAAGUUGGAACCUAGUGAGAAAAAGGAAAGGCUUCUACGACGAAACUGAGCAAUGUGGUUGAGGGGAGAAACUAUCUGGAAGUCGAGCUGGAAGUACCGCCGGAAAGAAGCAGGCGAAAUCAACAGAUGACGGUGGAACCGUGGAACUUCGAGGCAUUACAUCGGACCAAGCAUCGGACCGGAAUGUGCCAGCUAUUGCUUUGAAAGUUAUUGAACGUCAUAGGGUGGGGCACAGUUAGUGGCACUGGUAUCCAAUUAUAUGUUGAAUAAAUUAAGUGAUUUUUACCGU